AUUGAACGCUGGCGGCAUGCCUUACACAUGCAAGUCGAACGGCAGCGCGGGCUUCGGCCUGGCGGCGAGUGGCGAACGGGUGAGUAAUAUAUCGGAACGUACCCAAGAGUGGGGGAUAACGUAGCGAAAGUUACGCUAAUACCGCAUACGAUCUAAGGAUGAAAGCAGGGGAUCGCAAGACCUUGUGCUCCUGGAGCGGCCGAUAUCUGAUUAGCUAGUUGGUGGGGUAAAGGCCCACCAAGGCAACGAUCAGUAGCUGGUCUGAGAGGACGACCAGCCACACUGGAACUGAGACACGGUCCAGACUCCUACGGGAGGCAGCAGUAGGGAAUAUUGCACAAUGGAGGAAACUCUGAUGCAGCGACGCCGCGUGAGUGAUGAAGGCCUUCGGGUCGUAAAGCUCUGUCGUAUGGGACUAACAAAAUAGAAGGUACCAUGCAAGAAAGGAUACGGCUAACUUCGUGCCAGCAGCCGCGGUAA
Molecule: ribosomal RNA, 480 nt
Filed under: uncultured bacterium
Lineage: Bacteria
Description: bacterial SSU rRNA
Rfam family: Bacterial small subunit ribosomal RNA
Source: RNAcentral